This 578-nucleotide ribosomal RNA is filed under the name uncultured Staphylococcus sp. Its description in RNAcentral is "bacterial SSU rRNA". It matches the Rfam family "Bacterial small subunit ribosomal RNA", at positions 111 to 676 of the family's 1533-position model. The record is from RNAcentral. Lineage: Bacteria; Bacillati; Bacillota; Bacilli; Caryophanales; Staphylococcaceae.
UAACACGUGGAUAACCUACCUAUAAGACUGGGAUAACUUCGGGAAACCGGAGCUAAUACCGGAUAAUAUUUUGAACCGCAUGGUUCAAAAGUGAAAGACGGUCUUGCUGUCACUUAUAGAUGGAUCCGCGCUGCAUUAGCUAGUUGGUAAGGUAACGGCUUACCAAGGCAACGAUGCAUAGCCGACCUGAGAGGGUGAUCGGCCACACUGGAACUGAGACACGGUCCAGACUCCUACGGGAGGCAGCAGUAGGGAAUCUUCCGCAAUGGGCGAAAGCCUGACGGAGCAACGCCGCGUGAGUGAUGAAGGUCUUCGGAUCGUAAAACUCUGUUAUUAGGGAAGAACAUAUGUGUAAGUAACUGUGCACAUCUUGACGGUACCUAAUCAGAAAGCCACGGCUAACUACGUGCCAGCAGCCGCGGUAAUACGUAGGUGGCAAGCGUUAUCCGGAAUUAUUGGGCGUAAAGCGCGCGUAGGCGGUUUUUUAAGUCUGAUGUGAAAGCCCACGGCUCAACCGUGGAGGGUCAUUGGAAACUGGAAAACUUGAGUGCAGAAGAGGAAAGUGGAAUUCCAUGUGU